Molecule: ribosomal RNA, 253 nt
Filed under: uncultured bacterium
Lineage: Bacteria
Description: partial 16S ribosomal RNA
Rfam family: Bacterial small subunit ribosomal RNA
Source: RNAcentral
GACGGAGGAUGCAAGCGUUAUCCGGAAUGAUUGGGCGUAAAGCGUCCGCAGGUUGCAGUUCAAGUCUGCUGUCAAAGACCGGGGCUUAACUUCGGAAAGGCAGUGGAAACUGAACAGCUAGAGUAUGGUAGGGGCAGAGGGAAUUCCUGGUGUAGCGGUGAAAUGCGUAGAGAUCAGGAAGAACAUCGGUGGCGAAGGCGCUCUGCUGGACCAUAACUGACACUCAGGGACGAAAGCUAGGGGAGCGAAUGGG